UACGUAGGGUGCGAGCGUUGUCCGGAAUUAUUGGGCGUAAAGAGCGUGUAGGCGGCUAAAUAGGUCCGUUGUGAAAACUCGAGGCUCAACCUCGAGAUGCCGAUGGAAACCAUUUGGCUAGAGUCCGGAAGAGGAGAGUGGAAUUCCCGGUGUAGCGGUGAAAUGCGCAGAUAUCGGGAAGAACACCCGUGGCUAAGGCGGCUCUCUAGUACGGUACUGACGCUGAGACGCGAAAGCGUGGGGAGCGAACAGG
RNAcentral lists this ribosomal RNA (253 nucleotides) under uncultured bacterium. Its description in RNAcentral is "partial 16S ribosomal RNA". It matches the Rfam family "Bacterial small subunit ribosomal RNA", at positions 524 to 776 of the family's 1533-position model. The record is from RNAcentral.